This is a long non-coding RNA of Siniperca chuatsi (mandarin fish), 1180 nucleotides long. RefSeq lists it as uncharacterized. The record is from RefSeq and is a predicted model, not a curated record. NCBI's taxonomy places the organism in Eukaryota, Metazoa, Chordata, Actinopteri, Centrarchiformes, Sinipercidae. The transcript is spliced from 3 exons.
AGGACAGAAAUAGACAUAAUUCCACGCAAUCCUGAGAAUUUUUUUUUUGCCAUCUUGCAUUUAUUGAGAUUACACUUUGUGGGUUUUCAAAUGAAUGUUUCAUAAAUUACACACUGUUUAUGCAUACAGUAUACUGUAUCCAAGUAUAGGGCUAGGAUAAUACUUUUAAAAAUCAAUGUAUGAGACAAAAUUCAUAGUUGUGUAUAUGCUUAUUAUUUUGACCAAUGAAAAUAGGGCCUGUAUUCUGUGUACCAACCGUCUAUGGCUGGGGUUGGCAUCCAACAUUAAUCAACAUUAAGGUUAACAUUAAGUUUAAUUAUGACACCACAACAAAAUUUUAAUCUCCAAUAGAUCUGUCAUUUUAUUCUGUCCAUAUAGGCAACGUGCAUAGCAACAUUUAAAAAAACAUUUUUCUCCCAUAAUUAGGACUUUGUAAUUAUAUAUGAGCACUAUACAAGAAUGCUUCCAUCCUUGUAAAAACAUCCACAUCUGGUGGAAAGUUGGUAGGGUUAAUGAUUUCAACUCCAUCUUGUUCAUCAGCAAUCCACUUAACAAAUAGCUGUAUUUUUUUUUUUUAUAACCCUGUGGUUACAAAUUAUAUGCACAGUUCACAUUUUAGAAUACUGCUUUAAAUGACAUUUCUGGCUGACGUGGGUCUUUUAUUCUCGAUUUUAUUGUCUCUUUGUUUGGUAAGCCAUCAAACAAAACAACUGAGCUGCAGCGGAAAGCCUCCUUAAUAUACUCGCCGUCAGUGAAUGGCUUUCCACGUUUCGCAAUGCAAUGAGCAAUGCGACAGCUUGCCUCGGUAGCUGCCGUUUAGCAGUUGGCUUGCUUCCCAUACGUGGACGCGGCCCGUUUCAUUAUCAUGUACGCUAAUGGAGCUACCGGGGAUCUGUGGUUCUCAGGUUUCUGUACCUUGAUGGGUCUGGCCAGGUUGGGUCUCUUCUUGCGGAGGUAGAGGAGGCUGGCAAUGGUUACCCCAUAGGACAGAUAGUUGAUAAAGGACACAUAGUUGAUCAGGUUGUGUGUCUCUCCAAUGCACAGGAUGACUAUGGUGGCAAUGCACUGUGGGAGAUGAAGACAGACGGAGUAGACAAAAUUGAGUGCAGUACUCACACAGACCAGCAGGGCGGGGAUCGGAGUGCAGUUCUUUAGGUGGAUCAUAGCCAGCAGAUAGGGU